AGGAUGAACGCUGGCGGUAUGCUUAACACAUGCAAGUCGAACGGAACCAGAAAUGGUUUAGUGGCGGACGGGUGAGUAACGCGUGAGAAUCUGGCUUCAGGUUCGGGACAACCACUGGAAGCGGUGGCUAAUACCGGAUGUGCCGAAAGGUGAAAGAUUUAUUGCCUGAAGAUGAGCUCGCGUCUGAUUAGCUAGUUGGUGGGGUAAAGGCUUACCAAGGCGGCGAUCAGUAACUGGUCUGAGAGGAUGACCAGUCACACUGGGACUGAGACACGGCCCAGACUCCUACGGGAGGCAGCAGUGGGGAAUUUUCCGCAAUGGGCGAAAGCCUGACGGAGCAAUACCGCGUGAGGGAAGAAGGCUCUUGGGUCGUAAACCUCUUUCUCAGGAAGAAAAAAUGACGGUACCUGAGGAAUAAGCAUCGGCUAACUCCGUGCCAGCAGCCGC
RNAcentral lists this ribosomal RNA (447 nucleotides) under uncultured bacterium. RNAcentral's name for it is "SSU rRNA". It matches the Rfam family "Bacterial small subunit ribosomal RNA", at positions 26 to 518 of the family's 1533-position model. The record is from RNAcentral.